This 1213-nucleotide ribosomal RNA is filed under the name Salmonella enterica. RNAcentral's name for it is "partial 23S ribosomal RNA". It matches the Rfam family "Bacterial large subunit ribosomal RNA", at positions 1738 to 2925 of the family's 2925-position model. Lineage: Bacteria; Pseudomonadati; Pseudomonadota; Gammaproteobacteria; Enterobacterales; Enterobacteriaceae. The record is from RNAcentral.
GGGAGAAGGCACGCUGACACGUAGGUGAAGCGGUUUACCCGUGGAGCUGAAGUCAGUCGAAGAUACCAGCUGGCUGCAACUGUUUAUUAAAAACACAGCACUGUGCAAACACGAAAGUGGACGUAUACGGUGUGACGCCUGCCCGGUGCCGGAAGGUUAAUUGAUGGGGUCAGCGCAAGCGAAGCUCCUGAUCGAAGCCCCGGUAAACGGCGGCCGUAACUAUAACGGUCCUAAGGUAGCGAAAUUCCUUGUCGGGUAAGUUCCGACCUGCACGAAUGGCGUAAUGAUGGCCAGGCUGUCUCCACCCGGGACUCAGUGAAAUUGAACUCGCUGUGAAGAUGCAGUGUACCCGCGGCAAGACGGAAAGACCCCGUGAACCUUUACUAUAGCUUGACACUGAACACUGGUCCUUGAUGUGCAGGAUAGGUGGGAGGCUUUGAAGUGUGGACGCCAGUCUGCAUGGAGCCGUCCUUGAAAUACCACCCUUUAAUGGCUGGUGUUCUAACGUAGACCCGUGAACCGGGUUGCGGACAGUGUCUGGUGGGUAGUUUGACUGGGGCGGUCUCCUCCUAAAGCGUAACGGAGGAGCACGAAGGUUGGCUAAUCCUGGUCGGACAUCAGGAGGUUAGUGCAAUGGCAUAAGCCAGCUUGACUGCGAGCGUGACGGCGCGAGCAGGUGCGAAAGCAGGUCAUAGUGAUCCGGUGGUUCUGAAUGGAAGGGCCAUCGCUCAACGGAUAAAAGGUACUCCGGGGAUAACAGGCUGAUACCGCCCAAGAGUUCAUAUCGACGGCGGUGUUUGGCACCUCGAUGUCGGCUCAUCACAUCCUGGGGCUGAAGUAGGUCCCAAGGGUAUGGCUGUUCGCCAUUUAAAGUGGUACGCGAGCUGGGUUUAGAACGUCGUGAGACAGUUCGGUCCCUAUCUGCCGUGGGCGCUGGAGAACUGAGGGGGGCUGCUCCUAGUACGAGAGGACCGGAGUGGACGCAUCACUGGUGUUCGGGUUGUCAUGCCAAUGGCACUGCCCGGUAGCUAAAUGCGGAAGAGAUAAGUGCUGAAAGCAUCUAAGCACGAAACUUGCCCCGAGAUGAGUUCUCCCUGAGACUACAAGUCUCCUGAAGGAACGUUGAAGACGACGACGUUGAUAGGCCGGGUGUGUAAGCGCAGCGAUGCGUUGAGCUAACCGGUACUAAUGAACCGUGAGGCUUAACCUUACA